UGUCGUCAGCUCGUGUCGUGAGAUGUUCGGUUAAGUCCGCUAACGAGCGCAACCCUCGUCGUAUGUUAUAUGUGUCAUACGAGACUGCCGGUAAAAGCCGGAGGAAGGUGAGGAUGAUGUCAAGUCAGCAUGACCUUUAUAUCCAGGGCUACACACACGCUACAAUGGUCUGUACAAUGGGUAGCCAAGCCGCGAGGCGGAGCCAAUCCUGAAAGCAGGCCUCAGUUCAGAUUGCAGUCUGCAACUCGACUGCAUGAAGCCGGAGUUGCUAGUAACCGCAGGUCAGCACACUGCGUUGAAUACGUUCUCGGGCCUU
This 316-nucleotide ribosomal RNA is filed under the name uncultured Anaerolineaceae bacterium. Its description in RNAcentral is "bacterial SSU rRNA". It matches the Rfam family "Bacterial small subunit ribosomal RNA", at positions 1050 to 1382 of the family's 1533-position model. The record is from RNAcentral. Lineage: Bacteria; Bacillati; Chloroflexota; Anaerolineae; Anaerolineales; Anaerolineaceae.